ACGGAAGGCAGCAGUGGGGAAUAUUGCACAAUGGGCGAAAGCCUGAUGCAGCGACGCCGCGUGAGUGAAGAAGUAUCUCGGUAUGUAAAGCUCUAUCAGCAGGGAAGAAAAUGACGGUACCUGACUAAGAAGCCCCGGCUAACUACGUGCCAGCAGCCGCGGUAAUACGUAGGGGGCAAGCGUUAUCCGGAUUUACUGGGUGUAAAGGAAGCGUAGACGGUUUGGCAAGUCUGAAGUGAAAUGCGGGGGCUCAACUCCUGAACUGCUUUGGAAACUGUCGAACUAGAGUGCAGGAGAGGUAAGUGGAAUUCCUAGUGUAGCGGUGAAAUGCGUAGAUAUUAGGAGGAACACCAGUGGCGAAGGCGGCUUACUGGACUGUAACUGACGUUGAGGCUCGAAAGCGUGGGGAGCAAACAGGAUUAGAUACCCUGGUA
RNAcentral lists this ribosomal RNA (434 nucleotides) under uncultured Clostridium sp. Its description in RNAcentral is "partial 16S ribosomal RNA". It matches the Rfam family "Bacterial small subunit ribosomal RNA", at positions 341 to 792 of the family's 1533-position model. RNAcentral also lists the same sequence under 1 other name. The record is from RNAcentral. Lineage: Bacteria; Bacillati; Bacillota; Clostridia; Eubacteriales; Clostridiaceae.